Molecule: unclassified non-coding RNA, 2710 nt
Filed under: Hevea brasiliensis (rubber tree)
Lineage: Eukaryota; Viridiplantae; Streptophyta; Magnoliopsida; Malpighiales; Euphorbiaceae
Source: RNAcentral
ACUUAGUAAAACUACACAAAAUUUGGUUCAAAAAUGGGAUAACUGUAAUCAUUUGAAUGUCAGAAUCUGAGCUGUAAAGAGAGAAUACACAAUAAAUGGUUUUAUAUUUUUGUUCAUCCAAAUUUCAUAGAUAUAAAUAUUUACUCAAAUAGUGCUAUCUAAUAGAAAAUUCAAAAUUAAGAAGUGUAAACAAAAGAAUAAAUGCACAAUAUUUGCUCAGCCAUGUAUUUCACAAUGAAUUUUCAUAAAAUCAAUAACCAAUGUAAUAGGCACUUCUCAAUUUUCUCAUUUCUGCAAAAGAAAUCCAUGGACAUGCUUCCACACAUUCAAGUAGAUGCAAUCCUCAAUUUUAUCUUUCUUAUUUCUCUGUCAAUCUAGAAAGUCUCAUAUCUCCUGUCCAACAAGAAUGAGAAAAUGUCUAUUUAUUAGGGUUUAGAUACUUACUUAUACAAAUGUUGCAUGACAUAGCCCCAUGGACCAUGAGCAGCAUGCACUACUCGGAUCAUUCUGUUACUAAUAUUUAUCUCUAAGCAAUACUUCUGUAAAAUUUCAAUUAUAGUAGAGUAUUUGUCUAAGUAUUCCCUUUUUUUAUUAAUUUUACCUACUUGCUCGAACAAAUGUUGCAUGAUAUAGCUACAUGGACCAUAAGCAGCAUCCACUACUCAGAUCAUUCUCUUACUAGUAUUUAUCCCCCAGCAAUUCUUCCUCCUGUAAAAAUUCAAUAUCAUCCGAAGUCCAGUCCCGAUGACAAAUAGAGUAUUUCUCUGUGUUCCUUUUUUUUUUAUUUGGGAUAUAAAUUUGCUUUCAUCUUAUGAAGAAAAAGAGUAUCCAAUAACUGGAUCAACAAUCAAUAAAAUUCUUUUAAGUCUGUAACACUCCAUACCCCAGAUUCACAGAAACAACAGUUAACAGGCGAAAAUUCAUCUUUUUUUCUUGUUAAAGAAAAUCCUUAUAUGUUGCAAUUACAUACAACCACUUUUGCCAAACAAUUAGCAUAUCAAAAAGUAACAAAUUGUAAUGAUCUUUCCCUGUCUUGUCAAGGUUCCAGCAUGGACAAAAAAGAUACAUCAAUCAACCCACCCAGAUCCAACAAAUGGAAAAUCAAAUUAAAUCCCAUAUUUGGAGUUUUGCACAUACAAUAUUCGCCGGUCACAGUCUCACAGCAAUAACCAAUUGAUCUUAUUGAGCCCAUUAACAAAACCAAUCAUGGUAAAUACGUGUGAGAGUGAAGAAGAAUAUCCCUAGAGUUAGAGCUACCCAUACUAUCCACUAAACCCUUCCUGCAACCCCCCAAAAAGAGAUAAAAAAAUGAUAAAUAAUAUCCAUCAAUCAUAUCGAUGAAAUCCAAGAAUACCCUUUAAAUGGCCAUAUUUCCCAGACGCUGGAACCAAACAUUCUUCAGGCAUUUAAACGAAGAAAAUUAACUAAUUAAAUCAGUAAAUAUAAUAGGCCAAUUGAAAACUCGCAGCGCUCAAAUGCCAAGGCACUCUUUUAAUCCAUUAAAUUCCAAGACUAUUUAACCAAAUCCAAUCGAUCAAAUCCUCAGAAUGUAUCAGAUUAUAAAAACACAUACAAACACAAACACAGUUUUACCCACAACCAUUUAACAAAAAAGAAAGAAAACCCACCAAUGCAAUCCCUGUGCUUGCUCCAACCAAAAGCUUUUAACACAAUUUAACCCACUAAAUUCCUCAUUCCCACAAACAGACCCACCAAUUAAUCGCUGAAUAAACACAAUAGCCACAGUAAUAACAUAACCAUAGUUAAAAGAUAGCAAACCACUCUAAUCAAAUCCCGUAUAAAAACAAACAAAACCCAGCAAUACAAUCAUUGAACACAUACCAAAACUCUACACAUAAAAGCGAGAAAAUUAGAAAUGGGAAGAACUUACACUGAAAGACCGACGAAUCGAUCAAUCAAUGAAUCAGUGGCCGUGCUCCUUAGCAUGCUGCUGGUGCUCGAGGUGGCGGCGCUCCUCCGGAAGAGCAACAAGGUAGGAAAAAAUCAUGCCACCGAAGCAGAUAUGGUAGAGAGGAUCAAUGGAGCUGGUCUCAAUGUACUUGGCUUGGUAAUUGUCCAAACCUUUCUGCACCGAUUUCUUCACGUAAUCGAUCGAUAGCAUCGGCUUUACGUAGUUGGGCACUUCCUUCAGUUUCAACCCCUUUAUCUCGCUGUAGAACUUCCUCAGCGCCAUUUCCUUCGAAAUUUUUAGAUAAAAUUGGGAGUUAAUUGAUGAAAGAGACUCGCAAACCCUAACCCCAGAUAUAUAAAUUGGGGAUCUGAAUAGAGAGAGACGACCUCGGACGAUUGGCACUGAAUAGUUAUGCCCUUGUAAUUGCCUCUAGUUAGAAGCGAAUUUAUGAAACGCCAAAAAGGAUGUUCAAUCAAACACCAGCCUUCCAAGGGCAAACGACCUUGUGAAUUUAAAAGUAAAUCCUACAAGGAAAAGGUUUACAUAUGCUGUAUAUGCUGCCUACCAAAGGAUUCCACCGUACUAUUCUCACUCAUCAUCUAUAACCUGUAUUGGCUCACUAUGGAUUGGGUUCGCAGGAAGUGCUUGGGGAAGGAUUCCAUGGCUCUGUCUUCUUGGCCAUACCAAUCAAUAUUAUUUUGUCACCGCUUGCUGUGAAGGCUGCACUGAUAAUAGAUUCUCUCUGCAGAAAAAAUUGAAGACUUUGAAAGUGUUAUUCAAUGCUACGGGAAUUGUUUA